GGCGGACGGGUGAGUAACGCGUGGGUAACCUGCCUCAGUACAGGGGGAUAACAGUUGGAAACGACUGACUAAGACCGCAUAACCCGCUAGUGUCGCGAUGACACGGACGGAAAAUAUUUAUAGGUAUGAGAUGGGCCCGCGUCUGAUUAGCUAGUUGGUAAGGUAACGGCUUACCAAGGCGACGAUCAGUAGCCGACUUGAGAGAGUGAUCGGCCACAUUGGGACUGAGACACGGCCCAAACUCCUACGGGAGGCAGCAGUGGGGAAUAUUGGACAAUGGGGGAAACCCUGAUCCAGCGACGCCCGCGUGAGUGAAGAAGUAUUUCGGUAUGUAAAGCUCUAUCAGCAGGGAAGAUAAUGACAGUACCUGACUAAGAAGCCCCGGCUAACUACGUGCCAGCAGCAGC
This 407-nucleotide ribosomal RNA is filed under the name uncultured bacterium. RNAcentral's name for it is "bacterial SSU rRNA". It matches the Rfam family "Bacterial small subunit ribosomal RNA", at positions 97 to 518 of the family's 1533-position model. The record is from RNAcentral.